RNAcentral lists this unclassified non-coding RNA (240 nucleotides) under soil metagenome. Its description in RNAcentral is "partial contains 5.8S ribosomal RNA, internal transcribed spacer 2, and large subunit ribosomal RNA". The record is from RNAcentral.
AACCUAGCACACCUGCGGUGUGUACCUGCGGAAGGAUCAUUACAGAGUUGCAAAACUCCCUAAACCAUUGUGAACGUUACCUAAACCGUUGCUUCGGCGGGCGGCCCGGGUCCUUCCCGGCGCCCCUCGGCCCUCGCGGGCGCCCGCCGGAGGUAAACCAAACUAUUGCAUUGUAUGGCCUCUCUGAGUCUUCUGUACUGAAUAAGUCAAAACUUUUAGCAACGGAUCUCAGAUCGGAAG